This 1344-nucleotide long non-coding RNA is filed under the name Numida meleagris (helmeted guineafowl). Its description in RNAcentral is "lncRNA (ENSNMEG00000014033.1)". The record is from RNAcentral. Lineage: Eukaryota; Metazoa; Chordata; Aves; Galliformes; Numididae.
GUUCUAAAGAGAUUACAGAAGAGUAUAAGUUGAAUGGUAAUCACCUUUCCAAAAAACAAAAGCAAAAGUCUAUAGAUUGCAAAGCAAAAAGAAAAGAAACAGGAGAUAGUUAUGGUCCAUGUUCAUCAUUAUUUUAUCUACUGUUUUACUCUGUGAGCAGCUUAACAUGUUGAGUGCCAAAUAAGUUUACAGGAAUUAGCUGUACUGAGGUGGCCUUUGGUUAUUCUUUUGGACACAGGUAAGAAGCUUUCAGGUUUCUUAAAUUCAGGUUGGUACCUUUCCUGGGUAUCCUAACAAGGGAAUGUUAGGAUUCAUGUAACAAUUAAAUGGAAUUAUCAUAUAAUGAUUAAAAGGAGUAACUGUACAGGCUGCUGGCAGGCACACACCUGGGAGCCCAUGUUGCUGGAGGAAGCCCAUCUCCAUUAUCACCUCCAGCUGUGGCCACACUGCAGCCCCAAACCAUCUGAUGCUAGCAGAGAACCUUGGGAAGGGAGGGCGUUAUGAAAAGGAAGGGAAGGAGGAAGAUGUGAAAAACAAAAUCCAAGUCUAAAAUUGUUGGUGUGGAGUCUACGGGCUGAAUUUUACAUAAGAUGCACCCGUUUCCAAGGAACUCACCAAAGGGGUGCCAAAAAAUGCUUUGGGAUCCCUCGUUAAGAGCACUUCAACCCCUGUUUGACUCAGCUCCACUUCACUGAAGAAAGCAGGAGAGACAUUCAGAGCUCUUUUGAGAUAAUGGAGAGGAAACCCUGCAGAUGCAGUGACAGAAAUGGCAAUUACAGCAACACCGGAGCAGAGAUGUCUCCAUCAAUUACAUCACGCUCAGGUGUUGGGAGCUGCAGAUUUGGAAAAGGUACCCUGGGAGAUGGAACCUCAGAAGGAAAAGCAGCUCCCAGAUGGGACCAUGAUGUUCAAACCCCUUUGCAAGGUGAAGGAUUCUGUGCUGGCAGAUGUGAGGAAGAAUCCUGGCCAGUGGGAUACAGAGCAAGUUGUGUACGGUGCGGAGCAAGAAAGGUUCAGCCACUGCAGACUCCCAUGGCAUGGAAGAUCGUUUCCCUGUCGAUCUCAGGAAGCUUCACCGCUCCAAGAUGGAAGUAGCCAGUGUCCAUACACUGUCCAGGCACACCGCUGAGCAGGGGCUGUGAAGCAGGACUUGGAGCUCACUCUUUUAGUCCCAUUCAGAAUCAGUGUAUUCCUCUCGGUUCUGUGUCAGUCGCUUGCAUUCAGUUGGUGCCUCAAAGACAGAACUGCUGUGUGCAGGCUGGAGAGCCUGGCUAGACAAUUGUAUGCGUCUGUGACUAAGCUGCAUGCGAAGAGCUGAAAUAAAUGAUUUUUUAAUUUGAUGCA